Molecule: long non-coding RNA, 1128 nt
Organism: Toxorhynchites rutilus septentrionalis
Lineage: Eukaryota; Metazoa; Arthropoda; Insecta; Diptera; Culicidae
Exons: 3
Source: RefSeq, a predicted model, not a curated record
UAGUAUUAGUUCAAUUCAGGCAAUUUUUAGCCCCAUGAAUUAGUAUGUGUGUGCUAUUGACGUUUGUUUGUUCAUUUUGAAAUCAAUUUAGAAUUUGAAAGUGAUAUGGAUGCCGAAAUUUUUAUUUCGCUUCUUCGGCAACGACCUGCACUGUGGAACAAAUUCGGUGAUGCAAGUUUCUGCACGAAGGGAAGCAAUGGUCACAGGCGCACGAGAUCAUCAUGAAGCAUAUUGCCGUGGACAGUGCUAUCAACGAUUCGCUACUGAACAAGUUCGAUGAUGUCAAACAAAUCUCCAACUGGUUCUUCAAGGGGCAUAUUUUGAGCGACUUUAUCGAGAUUUUAUGAGGAGACAGUUUGACCUGAUUCGGGACGCGAUCGACGACGAGGUGGUCGAGGCUCGGCUUGAGGAACUCUAGCCCAAAAUGUCCGAUCUGUGAUCGGUGAUCGAGAUGCCCGACACCGAAGCAUCGGUUCUGUAUUAACAAAAUCACCUAAAUCUCAAAUUAAAAAAUCUGAGUCAGGCAUUCUUUGCCCAAGAUCCGCGUAUAAAUAGCUGUGCGUUGAUUUGCUAUGCGCUCGAGAAGCUACCGCUGCCCCAGGAGUAGGUGUUCGACGAAUUGCGGCAUAUGCUGAGCCCGUUUCUGGACGAGGAUCUGCGGAUGCAGCAAUGGGAUAGCAUUUGAAGGAAUCAUUAUGUUAUUUUUAGGAAGGAAUUAUGAUGUUAUUUUAAUCGUACAGAUUUCUACUGUAAUGGUGAAAUGAAAAACACUCUAGAAUGAAUGGAAGGGCAUAUAUUAUCUCGUAGACAAAUUCCAAGAUAAUCACAGGAAAUGAACACAUUACACAUAUAAAUAAAUAGUGCCGCUAGCUUCUUACGGAAUGUUAUUAUUUUUUCGGUCUUAAAAUUGUACACUUGUUUCUGAGACUGUUCAACCAAUAUGUGGCAACAGAACGUGUGAAAAAAUCAAGCUAUUUGUGUAUGUUUAGAAACAAAAUAACUGAGCGUAUGAAUGACCCCAGCAAACAUUAAAUCGUAUAAUUUUGCACGUGCCAAGUCUUACAAGAAAUCCGAAUAAAUCAUAAUCGCAUAUAAUAUCAAUCAAAGUGUGUAUCGUGUAUAUUUGAA